CUCCUUAUAAAGCAUUCUCCCAUGCAAGGGAGGGAUUCAUCAUAAUUAAGACAGUAGCCAACAAUGUCACAGUUACCUCCCACACAUCUCCUCCCCUCAGUGUGACACAUAAUCCCAUAAAUCAUGCUGUACUUUUCCCCGAAUUCUGGAUGUACCCCAAAACAGCUAGGUACAAUGGGCUAAUUUGCACCCCCUAGUAGCCCUGAUCUGGGUGACAAA
Molecule: non-coding RNA, 219 nt
Organism: Pelobates cultripes (western spadefoot toad)
Lineage: Eukaryota; Metazoa; Chordata; Amphibia; Anura; Pelobatidae
Source: the annotation of a GenBank genome assembly